RNAcentral lists this long non-coding RNA (454 nucleotides) under Pongo abelii (Sumatran orangutan). RNAcentral describes it as "lncRNA (ENSPPYG00000038208.1)". Lineage: Eukaryota; Metazoa; Chordata; Mammalia; Primates; Hominidae. The record is from RNAcentral.
CCACGACACUAUUUUGGGAGCCAGGAUGUCAGGGGCACUCUGUAACUAAUACUGAACUCAGACUCUAUUCCUAGCCCUGGCGGAGAAUGUGAAGAUGAGGCCAGAGGGAACAUUGAGAAGAAGGAUCUCAGAGAAGAAGGAAAAUUCAACAGAACCUAGGAAAUGCAACUGCUAUUGCCUGGGCCUUUGUUCCUGGAAUGGACUCUGCAUGAUGCAGCUUGGAGGACAUCUCCUCUGGGAUCCCUCCCCACUGCCCCCACCACUUCCUGGAGUGAAUGAGUCCUCUGUAGCCAUCAGGAUUCGCUGUAUCAGGAGUGUUCCUCUGCUGUCACCUCUGAUGACUAUUUUCCUCAAUUCAGAAUCCCCAGCACCUGCAAAAGGUCUGGAUCAAGAAGGGGCUGAGCAGGAACAGAGGAUUGCAGUUCUUAGGAUGGCCACGCGAGGGAAGUGGUGA